AAGAAUGCGACACUAAAACCAUCUUAUCAGUUCAAUAAUUUGUAACAAACUGUAGAAGAUGAUGUACGCGAAAAAAUUGAUGUGCGGUGUUCACACGGUUAUGGAGGUUAGUAAGUGGUUAUUGGUGGUUUGGAGUUGUUGCUCAACCGGCAGUGAGGGUGGUUCGCUCUAAUACGGUUGUUGCAGAGAGAAACAUUUGUGUUGUUGUUAACGGUGCUAACGUAGGUUGCGGGUCUGAGAUACGGUGUUGAAUACGAUGAAACUUGAAGGUUGGAAGGAAGGCGAUGGCUAUGGAUUUGUUGUGGUGGUUGGCCGGAAGACGGAAAUGGGAGGUAAUCCGGUGAUGGAAGCAAGGUUGUUUUGGUGAGAGGGUGAAGAUGACGGUGUCGUCGGCGGAGGUAGUGGGGAUUUUGAAGCGAAGGUGAUGGAGUAAAUGGAGAGAAAAGGAUAAACUUUUUGCAGUGAGAAUGGGAGGAAAUAACGUGUGACCUAUUCUUUUGUAUUUUUUCAGAGUGUUAAAAGAGACUUUUUUGUGAGUGGAGGCAGAGGUUUUUGAGGAGAGUAAUGUGUCUUCAUGUGAGUGGGGGAGAGAAUAGUUCCAACAGAGAGAGAAAGGGAGAUUGAAGGUUUUUUGUUACUGUUUGAGAGAAAAAAUGUAUAUAUAAAGAAAGUGUUAUGGUGUUUUCAAAAUAAAAGGUAACGUGUGAGUGUGAGAGAGGGGAAGCGUGAG
RNAcentral lists this long non-coding RNA (730 nucleotides) under Lathyrus oleraceus (garden pea). RNAcentral describes it as "Pisum sativum (pea) long non-coding RNA (PSAT_LNC037339)". Lineage: Eukaryota; Viridiplantae; Streptophyta; Magnoliopsida; Fabales; Fabaceae. The record is from RNAcentral.